GAUGAACGCUGGCGGCGUGCUUAAUACAUGCAAGUCGAACGCUGAAGGAGGAGUUUGCUCUUCUGGAUGAGUUGCGAACGGGUGAGUAACGCGUAGGUAACCUGCCUGGUAGUGGGGGAUAACUAUUGGAAACGAUAGCUAAUACCGCAUGACAACAGUUAUUGCAUGAUGACUGUUUGAAAGGGGCAACUGCUCCGCUACCAGAUGGAGCUGCGUUGCAUUAGCUUGUUGGUGUGGUAACGGCUCACCAAGGCGACGAUACAUAGCCGAACUGAGAGGGUGAUCAGCCACACUGAGAGGGUGACACGGCCCAUACUCCUACGGGAGGCAGCAGUAGGGAAUCUGCGGCAAUGGGCGGAAGUCUGACCAAGCAGCGCCGCAGGAGUAAAGAGGAUUGUCGGAUCGGAAAGCACGGUUGUAGGAGAGUAACGAGUGUGAGAGUGGAAAGAUCACACUGUGACGGUAACGUACCAAGAAGCGACGGCUAACUACGUG
This 495-nucleotide ribosomal RNA is filed under the name uncultured bacterium. Its description in RNAcentral is "partial 16S ribosomal RNA". It matches the Rfam family "Bacterial small subunit ribosomal RNA", at positions 28 to 507 of the family's 1533-position model. The record is from RNAcentral.